GGGGGCGUCAUUGGUUUCGACGUGAUUUACAAGACCCAAAGUGCAUGCCGAGUGUGUAAGCUACUCGCUAAACAAGCUGCAAUCGUUAUAAUUGCAAACGAUACUACUUUUGCUGCUGAGGACGCUAUCGCUGCCUAACCGGCAGAGGAGAAAUCCUCUCUCGUCGUACUAAACCUACGACACAGCCCAGCGACCGCGUGAGCCCGCGCGUGUGGAAGCUGGUAAUUUAGCGGGAUCGCGACGUGGAGUGUCUAGCAACAUCGUCGUUAAAUGUAACCGCUAGGCUUGCCUUGUGUGAUCCUGUCGGUCGGAGCGCAUAAGGUGACACAAAAGACCGCUCUAAGCAUGUAGACCUUUGUGUUGCGAUUUUGCGGACGCGGGUUCAACUCCCGCCGCCUCCACCA
RNAcentral lists this transfer-messenger RNA (404 nucleotides) under Gammaproteobacteria bacterium CG11_big_fil_rev_8_21_14_0_20_46_22. It matches the Rfam family "transfer-messenger RNA". Rfam says of the family: Bacterial tmRNA, also known as 10Sa RNA or SsrA, is named for its dual tRNA and mRNA-like properties. Its role is to liberate the mRNA from a stalled ribosome. To accomplish this part of the tmRNA is used as a reading frame that ends in a translation stop signal. Lineage: Bacteria; Pseudomonadati; Pseudomonadota; Gammaproteobacteria. RNAcentral also lists the same sequence under 1 other name. The record is from RNAcentral.